UACGAAGGGGGCUAGCGUUGUUCGGAAUUACUGGGCGUAAAGCGCACGUAGGCGGGUUUGUAAGUAGGGGGUGAAAUCCCAGGGCUCAACCCUGGAACUGCCUUCUAGACUGCAAGCCUGGAGGUCAGGAGAGGCGAGUGGAAUACCGAGUGUAGAGGUGAAAUUCGUAGAUAUUCGGUGGAACACCAGUGGCGAAGGCGACUCGCUGGACUGAUACUGACGCUGAGGUGCGAAAGCGUGGGGAGCAAAC
This 250-nucleotide ribosomal RNA is filed under the name uncultured bacterium. RNAcentral describes it as "partial 16S ribosomal RNA". It matches the Rfam family "Bacterial small subunit ribosomal RNA", at positions 524 to 773 of the family's 1533-position model. The record is from RNAcentral. RNAcentral also lists the same sequence under 2 other names.